GCCGGGGUGGCAGAGUGGCAAUGCGCUGGACUCGAGAUCCAGUGGGUCUUCGGGCUCACAGGGGUUCAAAUCCCUUCCCCGGCGCCA
This 87-nucleotide transfer RNA is filed under the name Candidatus Bathyarchaeota archaeon. Its description in RNAcentral is "tRNA-Ser". It matches the Rfam family "tRNA". From Rfam's summary of the family: Transfer RNA (tRNA) molecules are approximately 80 nucleotides in length. Their secondary structure includes four short double-helical elements and three loops (D, anti-codon, and T loops). The record is from RNAcentral. RNAcentral also lists the same sequence under 2 other names. Lineage: Archaea; Thermoproteati; Candidatus Bathyarchaeota.